GGGAGAGCAGGGCAGGGUUUC
RNAcentral lists this non-coding RNA (21 nucleotides) under Mus musculus (house mouse). The record is from RNAcentral. Lineage: Eukaryota; Metazoa; Chordata; Mammalia; Rodentia; Muridae.